AAGUCGUAACAAGGUUUCCGUAGGUGAACCUGCGGAAGGAUCAUUAGCGAGUUAGGGUCUUCUAGGCCCGACCUCCCAACCCUAUGUUUAUUGAACCUCUGUUGCUUCGGCGGACCCGCCUCACGGCCGCCGGAGGACCGCUGCAAGGCGUCCUCUGGCCAGCGCCCGCCGAUGGCCAACCACUUAAACUCUGAAUGAAUCGUGUCAUAUGUCUAAGUCUAUGAUUAAAUUAAAGCAAAACUUUCAACAACGGAUCUCUUGGUUCUG
This 267-nucleotide unclassified non-coding RNA is filed under the name Cladophialophora chaetospira. Its description in RNAcentral is "partial internal transcribed spacer region". The stretch from base 1 to 46 matches the Rfam family "Eukaryotic small subunit ribosomal RNA", at positions 1786 to 1831 of the family's 1831-position model. Lineage: Eukaryota; Fungi; Ascomycota; Eurotiomycetes; Chaetothyriales; Herpotrichiellaceae. The record is from RNAcentral.